AUCAAUCGUCUUCCCGCGCAGCCCCAUCCCUGUUUUCUGUGCUCCUUCGAGCUUGCUGUUUGUCCGGGUUUUUUACGUUUUAAUUUCCAGGACUUGAACUGCCAUGUCCUCUGAAGAAGGAAAGCUCUUCGUGGGAGGGCUCAACUUUAACACCGACGAGCAGGCACUGGAAGACCACUUCAGCAGUUUCGGACCUAUCUCUGAGGUGGUCGUUGUCAAGGACCGGGAGACUCAGCGGUCCAGGGGUUUUGGUUUCAUCACCUUCACCAACCCAGAGCAUGCUUCAGUUGCCAUGAGAGCCAUGAACGGAGAGGUGGGGCCUCCUAUCUGCAGAGGGACCUUGCCCCCAUCUGCGGCUUCCUUCAUUCUUUUUGUUUUUCCCUCUGUGUCUGCUCGGGGCAGCGUGGCCACCAAGCCCCGCAGUGCCCACUCACAGGAGCAUGACUGCCUUUUGUUCUAGGGGGUGGAGGGCAGCGGCAGACAGAGCCUGGCCGCCUGGGAGGCGACGACUGGUCCUGCAUGAGGCCGAGAAGCCACCUGUGGAUGGUUGACCUGCCUUGGGCUUAGGUAGUAGAGUCUGCAGACCUGUGGGCCUGGCCCGGAGAGGACCUCGUGAGUCUUCUGACAUGGACUCUGAAGCCUCAAACCAAGAGAGGUGUCUGUCUAGCCCUGAUAGUCGGGCAGCUUAGAGGAGUGGGGAGGAGAACUCAGCCUGAGUUCAGUCAAGAUUCUCUGGAUGGUCGUCAGAUCCGUGUGGAUCAUGCAGGCAAGUCUGCUCGGGGAACCAGAGGAGGUGGCUUUGGGGCCCAUGGGCGUGGUCGCAGCUACUCUAGAG
This 835-nucleotide small RNA is filed under the name Pongo abelii (Sumatran orangutan). RNAcentral's name for it is "processed transcript". The record is from RNAcentral. Lineage: Eukaryota; Metazoa; Chordata; Mammalia; Primates; Hominidae.